RNAcentral lists this ribosomal RNA (253 nucleotides) under uncultured bacterium. RNAcentral describes it as "partial 16S ribosomal RNA". It matches the Rfam family "Bacterial small subunit ribosomal RNA", at positions 524 to 776 of the family's 1533-position model. The record is from RNAcentral.
UACGUAGGGCGCAAGCGUUGUCCGGAAUUAUUGGGCGUAAAGAGCUCGUAGGCGGCCUGUUGCGUCCGCUGUGAAAACCCGGGGCUUAACCCCGGGCUUGCAGUGGAUACGGGCAGGCUGGAGGCAGGCAGGGGAGAACGGAAUUCCCGGUGUAGCGGUGAAAUGCGCAGAUAUCGGGAGGAACACCGGUGGCGAAGGCGGUUCUCUAGUACGGUACUGACGCUGAGACGCGAAAGCGUGGGGAGCGAACAGG